This 450-nucleotide ribosomal RNA is filed under the name uncultured Glomeromycotina. Its description in RNAcentral is "SSU rRNA". It matches the Rfam family "Eukaryotic small subunit ribosomal RNA", at positions 569 to 1023 of the family's 1831-position model. Lineage: Eukaryota; Fungi; Glomeromycota. The record is from RNAcentral.
AGCAGCCGCGGUAAUUCCAGCUCCAAUAGCGUAUAUUAAAGUUGUUGCAGUUAAAAAGCUCGUAGUUGAAUUUCGGGAUCAAUAUGUCGGUCGUGCCUUCGGUACGUACUGGUAUCAUUGGUCUCUCCUUUCUGACGAACCAUGAUGUCAUUAAUUUGGUGUUAUGGGGAGUUAGGACUGUUACUUUGAAAAAAUUAGAGUGUUUAAAGCAGGCUUUAGCUUGAAUACAUUAGCAUGGAAUAACGAAAUAGGACGUUCGAACCUAUUUUGUUGGUUUCUAGGAUCAACGUAAUGAUUAAUAGGGAUAGUUGGGGGCAUUAGUAUUCAAUUGUCAGAGGUGAAAUUCUUGGAUUUAUUGAAGACUAACUACUGCGAAAGCACUUGCCAAGGAUGUUUUCAUUAAUCAAGAACGAAAGUUAGGGGAUCGAAGACGAUCAGAUACCGUCGUAG